Molecule: long non-coding RNA, 812 nt
Filed under: Vigna radiata
Lineage: Eukaryota; Viridiplantae; Streptophyta; Magnoliopsida; Fabales; Fabaceae
Description: long non-coding RNA (VRAD_LNC017398)
Source: RNAcentral
AAAAGGACGAUACUGAACAAUUUUUAUUGAAAUAUGGGAUCUUAGUGAACUCUUUUUAAAGGUGGGACUAUUCGGAACCAAAGCACCAUAAAAAGGGACCAAAUGAUGUAUUUAACCUUAAAUAAAAGUUGAUCGAGUGGGACCACAGUGGGUUAAAUGAAUGGUUGCUUUUAGUGUUGGAUACUACGGCCCACAGGUUGGGAAAUUGGGUGGUUUGUAAAUAGAAAAAAAAAAUAAGUGUUUGGUUUGCAAAGAGAAGUCCACGUGAAAUUGAGGGAAACGUGCAUGUAUUUGAUUAAGAAGGGAACAAUGCAAUAAGGAAGUGUUAGCCAAACAUGAGAAAAGAAUGGGGAAAAGAAACAAAGAAUGUCAUCUAUAAGGGAUUUAAGAUCCUCUGGGCCAAAGAAGAUUAAGAAUAUAGAAGAUAUAUUUAGGGGUUAGGGUUUGGUUCUUGAUGAAUAAAUACAUAAGGAGGGAUUGGAGAAAAGAGAAAAGAAUAGAGAGAGAGAGGAGAAAACUGUGAGAGAAGGUAGAAACAAAAGAAGGAAAUCAUGAAGUGCACCGUGAGAAGCUUGGAGAAGAAACAAAAAGCUUGGAGAAGGGAUGUUGAGGCUGCAGACGUGAAGCAAAGGAUCCAUCCAUGUAAGGGAUGUUAACUUGGGUUUAUCUUUUGAGGUGCAUGUUGGUUGGUUUGUGUUUUCCUUCGUUUCUAUUUUGUUCUUUCUAUCAUGGCGGAUGUAAUACAUAGGCAUAGUUCACGUUCUUUGUCCCUUUGACAAUGGGUUUUCUUGAUUUUCACUCCUAAACCCUAA